This 465-nucleotide ribosomal RNA is filed under the name uncultured bacterium. RNAcentral describes it as "partial 16S ribosomal RNA". It matches the Rfam family "Bacterial small subunit ribosomal RNA", at positions 28 to 507 of the family's 1533-position model. The record is from RNAcentral.
GACGAACGCUGGCGGCGUGCUUAACACAUGCAAGUCGUACGGUAAGGCCCUUUCGGGGGUACACGAGUGGCGAACGGGUGAGUAACACGUGAGUAACCUGCCCACAACUUUGGGAUAACGCUAGGAAACUGGUGCUAAUACUGGAUAUGUGCCCCUGCUGCAUGGUGGGGGUUGGAAAGCUCCGGCGGUUGUGGAUGGACUCGCGGCCUAUCAGCUUGUUGGUGGGGUAGUGGCCUACCAAGGCGGCGACGGGUAGCCGGCCUGAGAGGGUGACCGGCCACAUUGGGACUGAGAGACGGCCCAGACGCCUACGGGAGGCAGCAGUGGGGAAUAUUGCACAAUGGGCGCAAGCCUGAUGCAGCAACGCCGCGUGCGGGAUGACGGCCUUCGGGUUGUAAACCGCUUUCAGCAGGGACGAAGCUUUUUGUGACGGUACCUGCAGAAGAAGCACCGGCUAACUACGUG